GGAGGGGUAGCAAAGUGGCCAAAUGCAUCCGGCUGUAACCCGGCUCCGAAAGGUUCGGGGGUUCGAAUCCCUCCCCCUCCACCA
RNAcentral lists this transfer RNA (84 nucleotides) under Mycoplasma marinum. Its description in RNAcentral is "tRNA-Tyr(gta)". It matches the Rfam family "tRNA". Rfam says of the family: Transfer RNA (tRNA) molecules are approximately 80 nucleotides in length. Their secondary structure includes four short double-helical elements and three loops (D, anti-codon, and T loops). The record is from RNAcentral. RNAcentral also lists the same sequence under 2 other names. Lineage: Bacteria; Bacillati; Mycoplasmatota; Mollicutes; Mycoplasmatales; Mycoplasmataceae.